Equus caballus (horse) is the source of this 391-nucleotide non-coding RNA. The record is from RefSeq and is a predicted model, not a curated record. Lineage: Eukaryota; Metazoa; Chordata; Mammalia; Perissodactyla; Equidae.
AUCCUCUCUAAUACCUCUUCUUGUUCUGUAGUUCUGUGCUUUUCUGUGUUGAAGCCUGGAUCUCAGAGCUGAUGAAGGACAGUGUCCAGGGACUCAGGUCCACUUUUUAAGGGCCAUGAUUCCACUUUGCUGCCCAAGCAAGGAAGCACAAACUCAAAGAUGGAAGGUCCAAAGUCGGAAAGGGCAGGUGAGCUGAUCAAUGGGAGCGUCUUCACAUCCAGCACAGAAAUUCUUCUUUCCUAACAAAUUCCACUGUUCAACUUGUUUCAAACUCCAGAAUGAGUAACUGCAUACGUUAAAAAGUGCAUUUAUAUCCAGAGGGGAGUGUUUGUAUAUAUGUUUUAGUUAAUAAAUAAAAAAGUAUCCUGACCUCUGAGAGUCACUCAAUAAA